This 381-nucleotide long non-coding RNA is filed under the name Pan troglodytes (chimpanzee). RNAcentral's name for it is "long non-coding RNA NONPTRT009198". Lineage: Eukaryota; Metazoa; Chordata; Mammalia; Primates; Hominidae. The record is from RNAcentral.
GCCACAUUGUGCUGCAGCGUGGCGGAUGUCUCGAUGAAUUUACAGUCGAACACCACAGCGCAGGCGCGGCCCUCUGAGGGGGCGGGGCCCGGCGAGGAGGGGUGGAGCCAUAACGGAAGGCGGAGAAAAAGUGCCAUACCAGUUUCUCGGCCUCCCAGGUGUCCACGACCACCAGUGUGGUGUCUUCUCCAUCCACCGUGAGGGUCCUCUCAUAUACAUCUUCUGCAACCGAGGGAAGAGCUGGAUCUCAGGGAGGACGGGCAAGCCUGAGAGAGUGUGGUGUUCCCUACCCCCCAUUUCUGGUCAUAUCGCCCCCUCCACUUGUCCUCGGAAACGCUUAUCACACUUGUUUGAUGCCUGUCUCCUCUGGUAGGAACCCAU